Molecule: long non-coding RNA, 290 nt
Organism: Gasterosteus aculeatus aculeatus (three-spined stickleback)
Lineage: Eukaryota; Metazoa; Chordata; Actinopteri; Perciformes; Gasterosteidae
Source: Ensembl
GUUCUUAGUCUGUUCUCAGUCUGUUCUGUUCUCAGUCUGUUCUCGGUCUGUUCUCGCUCUGUUCUUAGUCUGUUCUCAGUCUGUUCUCGGUCUGUUCUCGGUCUGUUCUCAGUCUGUUCUCAGUCUGUUCUCAGUCUGUUCUUAGUCUGUUCUCGGUCUGUUCUCGGUCUGUUCUCAGUCUGUUCUCAGUCUGUUCUUAGUCUGUUCUCGGUCUGUUCUCGGUCUGUUCUCAGUCUGUUCUCAGUCUGUUCUCAGUCUGUUCCUUAUCUGUUCUUAGUCUGUUCUCAGUC